This 715-nucleotide ribosomal RNA is filed under the name uncultured bacterium. RNAcentral's name for it is "bacterial SSU rRNA". It matches the Rfam family "Bacterial small subunit ribosomal RNA", at positions 672 to 1384 of the family's 1533-position model. The record is from RNAcentral.
GGUGUAGCGGUGGAAUGCGCAGAUAUCAGGAGGAACACCGAUGGCGAAGGCAGGUNUCUGGGCUGUAACUGACGCUGAGAAGCGAAAGCAUGGGGAGCGAACAGGAUUAGAUACCCUGGUAGUCCAUGCCGUAAACGUUGGGCACUAGGUGUGGGGGACAUUCCACGUUUUCCGCGCCGUAGCUAACGCAUUAAGUGCCCCGCCUGGGGAGUACGGCCGCAAGGCUAAAACUCAAAGAAAUUGACGGGGGCCCGCACAAGCGGCGGAGCAUGCGGAUUAAUUCGAUGCAACGCGAAGAACCUUACCAAGGCUUGACAUAUACUGGACUGCGUCAGAGAUGGCGUUUCCCUUCGGGGCUGGUAUACAGGUGGUGCAUGGUUGUCGUCAGCUCGUGUCGUGAGAUGUUGGGUUANNNNNNGCAACGAGCGCAACCCUCGUUCUAUGUUGCCAGCACGUGAUGGUGGGGACUCAUAGGAGACUGCCGGGGUCAACUCGGAGGAAGGUGGGGAUGACGUCAAAUCAUCAUGCCCCUUAUGUCUUGGGCUUCACGCAUGCUACAAUGGCCGGUACAGAGGGUUGCGAUACUGUGAGGUGGAGCUAAUCCCUAAAAGCCGGUCUCAGUUCGGAUUGGGGUCUGCAACUCGACCCCAUGAAGUCGGAGUCGCUAGUAAUCGCAGAUCAGCAACGCUGCGGUGAAUACGUUCCCGGGCCUUNU